GUCAAAAAAAAUCUAUAAGAUUAGUUUGGCAUGAUCCCUUUGAAAUGAACCCAUGCUGUCUCUGAUCUUAAAAUUUAUGUGACUUUAGAUGUUCAACAAUCCUAUCCUUUAACAUGGAUUACAUUGCUUUGCCCACUACUAAAGUAAGGCUUACUGGCGUAUAGUUGCAUGACUCCUCCCUAUUACCUUACUUGUGAACUGGCACAACAUUCGCAAAUUUCCAAUCUUUUGAGACAACUCCCGUUAACAAUG
Non-coding RNA from Pelobates cultripes (western spadefoot toad), 252 nucleotides. NCBI's taxonomy places the organism in Eukaryota, Metazoa, Chordata, Amphibia, Anura, Pelobatidae. The record is from the annotation of a GenBank genome assembly.